Long non-coding RNA from Mesocricetus auratus (golden hamster), 5981 nucleotides. RefSeq lists it as uncharacterized. The transcript has 2 exons. NCBI's taxonomy places the organism in Eukaryota, Metazoa, Chordata, Mammalia, Rodentia, Cricetidae. The record is from RefSeq and is a predicted model, not a curated record.
AUGUUCAGGAAGAAACCAUCCUGAGUGAUAUAACCCAGUCACAAAAAGAAGAACAUGAGCAAAGGAUACCCAGUCUACAAUCCACAACCCCAGAGAAUUUGAGAAACAGGAGGACCCUCGGAGUGACAUAUAUGGUCCCCUGGAGAAGGGGAAAGGGACAAGAUCUCCUGAGCAAAUUGGGAAGGCGGGGUGAGGAUGGAGGUGGGAGAAAGGGGAGGGGAUUUCCUCAAAUCUUUGAGACUAAGUUAAUUAUGUUAUUUUAUUUAUUUACUUAUUAUUUUUUCUUAUCUUAAUUUGACUUGAAAAAUAUACAUUUUUAGACACUAAAUACUAAACAAAAUUCAAAUAAAACACUUUGAUAAAUUGGUAAAUCUGCUAGCCACUUUAUUUCUUCAUUGUUUUUGAAAGAGAAAAUGACUUAUGCCAUUUUAACUCCAAUUUAUUUUAUGUUUAUGCUUAUCUAAUUUAAUUUUUACUUAUUGUGAAAACAUCUCUAGGAUUGAUUGCCCUCUAGCUCAAUAUGCAACUAGGCAUGCCUUUGAACUGGUCCUACUAUAUCUAUCUUCUAAGUCUCAGGUAUGGUACUUGUAACCAAACUGAGGGAUUCACAAAUUGUUGGGAGCCUAGUCUCAGAUAAGCAUAUGACAACUUGUCCAACAGGUUUCCAUGGGGCAUAACACCUGAUAAAAUGGACUCUCACUUCACAAGAACCAGUAGUCCAUGUCUCUGUCAUUACAUUGAUGAUUCUUUGAGCAGUUUUUAGUUUUAUUUUGUCAGUCAUACAUGCAAUAGGUAUAACCUUACCUGGAAAUUCUGUUCCUUUUCAAAUAUUUUCUCCUAAGAUUCAACAGGAGCUAAUGUUUCUCAAAUCUCUUAUCUGGAAUUACUAACUACAACUUUUAAUCCUAGGAGUUUUUCUGACUCAAUAGUCAGGUACAUAUGAGAAAACAACAUUUGGAACACUAACCAUGUCUCACAGUUCUGGAAAGGAGCGUAAGGCAUGCAUACACAGAAUAGGGGAAAAGCCUCAGGAAUAUACAUAGUACCAACUGUUGAGAGUAAGUUUCAUGGAAACUAAGGAUACAGGGUCAAUGAUAGAAUCUAGUAUAUUCUGGUGGGAAUAAUGCAAACUAUGGGAUGGAUAGAUCCAUCUUUACCAUAUGUAGGAACUCAUAUUGGUGGGAAAGAAUGAUAUAAUGAGAUGGGAAAAGUGUGCUUUGUCAAAAUAUGCCUUUUACGGAGAGAUUAAAACAUGGGGCCCUCUUGUAGAAAAGGCAACUGUAUAAAAUAUGUCUUGGAGGUAUGCAAUAAUUAUCUGGGUUUGCAUAUUAUUGUCCUUAAACCACUGCACUCAUGUCUAUUACAUUUUAGUUUAGUAACUACAAGUAGCUGUCAGCUGAUAUAAGUACUGCAAGAGCAGAAUGUAUCUGGCUUGAUAUUUAGUUAAACCUGGAAAAAUACUGAACUCUGUGUCUAGAAUAAGGGGGUAAGAAGGUAUAUUGGGAAAGCAUAAAGGGGAACAGUGGGAACUUUCAUAAUGAUCACUAUGUAUUCCUUAAAUUGUGGUGCAUUUCUUAAUGUCAAAACUAGAAGCCAUUUAUAACGCUAUUCAUACAAUCCUUGUAAGAAAAAACUGCUUAAGUAUAAAUACGGGCUGGAGAGAUGGCUCAGCCAUUACAGACUAGGCUCAUAACCAAAAAUAUAAGUAUAAAUAAAGAUAACCUGAGUUACUAGGGGCCACGUGAAAGGAAUUCACUUGGUGGUUAGAAGUUUUCUUUGCACCGACACCCCUUUUCCACCUCAGGACCUGGAACUGAUCCUGGCAAUAAAUACUAGUCAAGCAUGCUACCAGCUAAACCUAUUUCAACUUGGUAUAAAGCAAUUCUUAAGUGUCAUGAAUUAUGAUUAGUAACAGUAUUGAUUGCCCAUGACUGUGCUGCUUCAUAGUACUUAUUUAAAGAUUACAAAACAUGGAGUCUGUAUAUUUCCACCUUAUUAGAUGCUAGUAUGAGUUCACACCCUCUAGUUCUUAAUCUACUUCACAUUAUUAACUCUUAUUGAGAAUGUUCUUGAAGAUGUGUCUGUUUAUUGUCCUUUGCAGCUUUUACAGAAUCCAACAAAAUAUAAAUCAAAACAAAUAACUUCAACAUAUUUUUAUUGAAAGUCAUAUGACCAAGUUUACAAUUGAAAAGUAAGGCAAUUUGCUCUUUUCCAUUUUUGUCAAUGUCUUAAUAGUUUACUCAAAGGAAGAGGGAUUUACAUAUCUACUUAAGUAUUCAGGCUGGUGUGAUGUUAUGUCUAAUGUAGCUUUGAAUUUUAUUACAUUCUUGUGAUAGAAAGCUAAAGAAAGGCAAACAAGCCUCUGCUAUUAAGAAAAAGAAAAACAACCACACUUUAAGCUUAUAAAUUUUCUAAAGGACAUUUGAAAUCCUCAGAAAUAUUUUGACAAUACUUUUGAGACCAGGGCAGUUGGACGUCACUGACCUUAUCCUUCAGUGCAUUGGUGUUUACAUCUCAGCUCUGCAUUUCCUAAACCAGUUGCUUGUGAAUGUUUUUUACAUAUCUGUGCUACACUGAUGAAUUGCUGAUAAAACCAAGGCCAAAUAAUUAUACUAGUGUUACCUCCAGCUUUGCAACUGCUCCUCCUGCUGUCAUAUUUGCUUUCAUUUAUCUUUAGACAUCAACUGAAAUGGCACCUCUGUGACACCUGAGUCACUCACUCAUUUUCCUUUUGAUGUACUUCACACAUCAUUUUGUUAUUUUAACAGCCAAAAGAUAUUAAUUACAAACUGUGAGUCAAGGUGUCUACAAAACUGUACUCUAGUCUCCUGAAAUGAAUGUUAUUUUUACUGUCAACUUAAGAUAUUCAAAUUCACAGGGAACUCCAUCUUUGGGCAGUUAGGCAUUUUGUUUCCUGUACCUGAUUUCAUUCCUGCAUUGGGGAGAAUGCUUGCUGUUCAAGGAAUACGACAUGAAUUUCUGAUGACUCUUCAUGUCUGGUGAUGUCCGUCUUGACGUUUCUAAUGGAGGAACCUGUGCUUAUGGCUUAUGUGGCACUUGUCAGUUGCUCUCACAACAUCCUGAAGUGUUAGGGUCUCUACUGGGUGGGGGGUGACAUGCCUGCCCGUGGUCAUUAUUAGACAGGUUUGUCCAUUCCCCUGCCACUGAUAAUGUUAACAGUUCUUGGCCUCCACCUUUGUAGGGAAAGCUGAUUCAAGGCCUUUUCCAUCAUGUCUUAUGCUUUCCCAAGAGGCCAUUUUUAUGAAAGGUGGGAUUCACAAAAUUACAGUUAACUGUAAGAUUUUUUAAAAAAUUUCUUUCUGGUAUUAUGUCUAUCCUGAGUUUUCCCUUGUUGGGAAGGCAGCAGAAAGUUAAGAUCUGAGAAAGAAAGAGGAAUCAGAGCAAUGAGAGAUAUACUCAAACAUAUCUAGGCAUAUAUGCAAUGGGUGCACAUGUUUUACUUGUUUUGUUUUGCUUUUUAACCCCUCCUCAAUUUGCACACCUUGGGCUUGGGAUCGCUGACUAUGUAUGGAGAGGAAGUGAAGACAAAUGAACAGUAAAGCUAGGAUGAUAUGGAGUCCGUUACACAGGCAAGAUGGAACCUCAGCAUAUUUAUUACCUAGCGUACAGGGACAAGGACUAGCUAGUCUGGAUGGAGGGUGUCUGUUGAUGAGCAGUCUAAGACUAUAAAUAUCUGAGCGGAGGAAACCUCUCAUGCCAUCUUUUGUACAAUCCAAUGAUCAUUCAGAAACAUCUAUUCUGGAACUCUCAAGGAAAGCUUUUCCAAUCCUCUUGAGCCUUAUUAGGGUAAGGCUUUAGCAGUUCCUUGGGACUGAAGCAUUGGAGUCUGGGCUUGGUGGCACCCAUGUUAACAAUGCACAUUCACUCAGAACUCCAUGUACUCAGAGAUUUCUCUGCUCCCGACAGAACCCCACUCACCAUCCCUGUGUAUACCUACAGAGAUGCACUCCUUUUCCCAUUUCUAAAUACCACAACUUUGGUAUAAGAAAGUUCGAAUACCAAGAAUAGUGACUCUCAAACAGUAGGACCUCUAUAAAUGUUUAAUCUAGGAAGCUAAGCAUUAAUUAAAGUAUUUUAGGUAGCAUUACACUUACUGUAUCUAAAUUCUGGUGUUUUUUUAACCAAAGAAUAUAAGCUUUUGUGUUCUUUCUUAUUUGAUUUAUAGAACUCAAGGACUAAAGACUGUAGAUAAAAUAUUGAUGUCCUUCUCUAAGGGCUUUAAUAUACUAAACAAGUUCUUAAUAAACUGGGGAUGUUCAGUGAAUAUCAAUGCAUCUUCUUUAGUAAGGCACUGAGAAGAAUAAUAACUAUACUUUCAACCCAGAAUUGUUCAUAAAAUGUCUCAUUUCCCACUACUGAAAAAAAUAAUAAUCCAGCAUAUAGAAAUAUGCACACUAAUGUAUUUGAAUCAACUGUAAUAUCUCUAGCAUUAACCAAUACUGUACAAUAGCAUUUAGACUCAGUCAUGGAUGUUAGAUUUGGCUCAGUAACCUAUAGAUAUUUAUUUUGCUUUUAUGUUUCUAUUUCUAUGUAUAAAUGUCAUGAGACAAAACUAAGUGUAGUAUCACUAAGAGGAAUAAAAGGUUCUACUUGUUUGAAUAUAUCCUUCACAGACUAUCUCAAUGAACUCUUCCUUAUUCAUUUUCUAGCUUCUGAAGUUUAGAUUUAAGUUUCAGCUUAGAAAAUAAGUUAAAAUUUAUAAUUAUGAAUUCCAUUGUUUUAUUGUCUCCUGAACUCAUUAAUUUUUUUCUAAGAACGAUUAUUUUCAGGUGACAAUUAGCUCUAAUUGUGCUUGCACAUGUGUUUAAUUUGGGGAUGUGUUGGAAAUCUCUUUUUCUCUGACCUGAUAUGAAUAUGCUUUUCAUUCUUAGGUGGCCACAGCAAUGGUGACCUUUUGUAUCUCCCCUACUUAGCACUGUUGUUUUCAGUUCCAAGAUUUGCAUGAUGCUGAACAUUGCUGAAAUUCUGAGAUCUCACUACUUCUGCACUCAAGCUUAAUUUGUAUUACUGGCUUCACCCUGGACUUUGUUCAGGUCCAAGUCAAGGUUCACAAACAAUUUAGAAGGUUUUUGUCCUUUUCAGGAAAGCCUCUGUGAUCAUGCAUUUUCUACUCUAUUAAUAUUGUCAACUAUUUGUCUUCAGCACUCCUGAAAUGCAUUUGAGCUAUAUUUACUAUUAUUUGAAGAAAGACCACUCAACCAAUCUGAAUGAAAAACAUUUCACUGGUGACUGAAAUUUCAACACAGAGAUAUUGUAGUCAGAAAAAAGAGCAGUGCUCAUUACAUACCCACAUAUUUUAUGUAAUUGGAGCUUUCCCCCAAUAUGUUUAUAUUUAACUAUUGUAAUAUGCUUUGGUAGUGUGAAUAUCAUGAUGCUUAAAAGAAAAAACAGUAACAAAAUAAAGGAAAACAACCAACCAACCAACCAAACAAACAAAACCCAACUUUAACACCUCUUCAAGUUUGGGAUUCCUUUAUUUGUUUGCAUUUAAAAAUCUGCAAUGUUUCCCUCGUCAUGUAAAAGCCAAGAGUGAAAAACUCUGGCAUCCAACUUUAUCAAGAAAGGAACUACUGAAUAAUUUGAAUUAACAGUCAUUUUCGAAGAUGAAUUUUUUAAUGUUAGAUAUUCUUAGUUAUUAUAAUUAAUAUAAUUAUUCAUCAUAUAAUGGAAAUGAUCUUGUUUUAAAAGUAAAAUUUCAAGUCGUUUUUUCAGAGAUGUGUUUGGGGAAAUUUGAGAAAACAUGGCAGAAAUCUUUCUUGUCAUAUGUUAACUCUUUAUUGACUAUUUUACACAAAACUCAUUAAAGUAGUGUGUUAUAGCCUGUGCCUAUCGAUUAGCACUUAUUUUCUCAUGAUUGUGACAAACUAAUUUGCAUCAGUAUGUAAUCACAGUCAGGGCUUGUUUUAAUUUAGAUUCUGUAUCCGAUAAAAUUCAUAAUUAAAUUCAGAUCCAAGAGAGUC